RNAcentral lists this ribosomal RNA (47 nucleotides) under Rickettsia aeschlimannii. The record is from RNAcentral. Lineage: Bacteria; Pseudomonadati; Pseudomonadota; Alphaproteobacteria; Rickettsiales; Rickettsiaceae.
AGCUUGGUGGUUAUAGCAUGAGUGAAACACACGCUCCCAUCCCCAAA